AACUGAUACUACCUGCGGGAACCUGCGGAAGGAUCAUUAAUGAGAAGCUGCCCCUCGUGGGUAGACCUCCCACCCUCUGUGAACUUACCUUUGUUGCUUUGGCAGGCCCGUCCUCUGGACCGCCGGCUUCGGCUGGCCCGUGCCUGCCAGAGGAUUCCAAACCCUGUCUGUCAGUGUUGUCUGAGUCUAUAUGAAAUCGUUAAAACUUUUAACAAUGGAUCUCUAGAUCGGAAGAGCACA
RNAcentral lists this unclassified non-coding RNA (240 nucleotides) under soil metagenome. Its description in RNAcentral is "partial contains 5.8S ribosomal RNA, internal transcribed spacer 2, and large subunit ribosomal RNA". The record is from RNAcentral.